Molecule: long non-coding RNA, 107 nt
Organism: Pecten maximus
Lineage: Eukaryota; Metazoa; Mollusca; Bivalvia; Pectinida; Pectinidae
Exons: 2
Source: RefSeq, a predicted model, not a curated record
UCUGUUCUGGUAUCACAGUGAUUUCUAGUAAAACCAGUACCAGGUACCAAUAUUGAUGUUAUAACUCAGUCUCAUUGCUCUGUUCCUGGUAUCACAGUGAUUUCUAG